GUCACUUUGGCGGAGUGGUUAACGCGCGGCCCUGCUAUGUUGCAUACAAGGCCGUGACUUCGGUCGCGUAGGUUCGAAUCCUGCAGGUGACG
This 92-nucleotide transfer RNA is filed under the name Dactylonectria macrodidyma. RNAcentral describes it as "Ilyonectria macrodidyma tRNA". It matches the Rfam family "tRNA". Rfam says of the family: Transfer RNA (tRNA) molecules are approximately 80 nucleotides in length. Their secondary structure includes four short double-helical elements and three loops (D, anti-codon, and T loops). Further hydrogen bonds mediate the characteristic L-shaped molecular structure. tRNAs have two regions of fundamental functional importance: the anti-codon, which is responsible for specific mRNA codon recognition, and the 3' end, to which the tRNAs corresponding amino acid is attached (by aminoacyl-tRNA synthetases). tRNAs cope with the degeneracy of the genetic code in two manners: having more than one tRNA (with a specific anti-codon) for a particular amino acid; and 'wobble' base-pairing, i.e. permitting non-standard base-pairing at the 3rd anti-codon position. RNAcentral also lists the same sequence under 1 other name. Lineage: Eukaryota; Fungi; Ascomycota; Sordariomycetes; Hypocreales; Nectriaceae. The record is from Rfam by way of RNAcentral.